Molecule: ribosomal RNA, 313 nt
Filed under: uncultured fungus
Lineage: Eukaryota; Fungi
Description: eukaryotic LSU rRNA
Rfam family: 5.8S ribosomal RNA (bases 1-108)
Source: RNAcentral
GAAAUAGCGAUACGUAAUGUGAAUUGCAGAAUUCAGUGAAUCAUCGAGUCUUUGAACGCACAUUGCGCCCCCUCGGUAUUCCGGGGGGCGAUGCCUGUCCGAGCGUCAUUGCUGCCCUCAAGCACGGCUUGUGUGUUGGGCCCCGUCCUCCGAUCCCGGGGGACGGGCCCGAAAGGCAGCGGCGGCACCGCGUCCGGUCCUCGAGCGUAUGGGGCUUUGUCACCCGCUCUGUAGGCCCGGCCGGCGCUUGCCGAUCAACCAAAAUUUUUUCCAGGUUGACCUCGGAUCAGGUAGGGAUACCCGCUGAACUUAA